AACGUAGGAGGCUAGCGUUAUCCGGAUUUAUUGGGCGUAAAGCGUGUGCAGGCGGUUUAGCAAGUUGGAUGUGAAAGCUCCUGGCUUAACUGGGAGAGGUCGUUCAAAACUGCUAGACUAGAGAAUGGGAGAGGGAGGUGGAAUUCCGGGUGUAGUGGUGAAAUGCGUAGAUAUCCGGAGGAACACCAGUGGCGAAAGCGGCCUCCUAGACCAUUUCUGACGCUAAGACACGAAAGCUAGGGUAGCAAAC
RNAcentral lists this ribosomal RNA (250 nucleotides) under uncultured bacterium. Its description in RNAcentral is "partial 16S ribosomal RNA". It matches the Rfam family "Bacterial small subunit ribosomal RNA", at positions 524 to 773 of the family's 1533-position model. The record is from RNAcentral.